This 2365-nucleotide unclassified non-coding RNA is filed under the name Anthonomus grandis grandis. RNAcentral's name for it is "zinc finger protein 827-like". The record is from RNAcentral. Lineage: Eukaryota; Metazoa; Arthropoda; Insecta; Coleoptera; Curculionidae.
GUGUAGAAUUCUACUAGAAUGUUCUACAUUUCUUCCUAUUAAACCAAACGGCUAACAUAAAUGAUUUUUUUUUAAUGAUUAAUGUCAAUAAUUGACAUCUGUCAUCGGUAACGUCUGUCAGUCCGUCAGCUGUGUUUUUGCUGUUUUGGCGUGUACGGUGUGAUAUUUUGAAUAAUUUUGAUAAACAACAGUUUUGAAAAAAAAAGACUCACAAUUAAAAUGUUUAAUGUAUUUAGCCGAAAAUAGUGUUGAGUUUAUACGCAAUAUAACAUAAUGAGCAAUAUGCACUUGCUAGAACAACUAGUUUCCUAUAAAUAUCACUAGUUGCUUCAUUAACUGGUGACGAUGGGGUCAACUGAAAAGAAGACAUAUUGUCGGCUGUGCCUCUGCAAGAUUUCGGGUGAGAAUGUCUUGUUAAAUGGGUUUGAGAAGGACAUGCUGGAGGUCAUUCUGCCUGAACUGAACAUUACAAUAUGUAGCCAACCAUCAAUGUGUAAACCCUGUACAGAAACAUUAAGGCAACUAUAUGGUUUUAAGUCAAUAUGUUUGGAAGUAGAAGAUAAAGUACAGGGAUUUGUAAACCCAAAGACUUCUUCAUUUGUUGAUCUUAAUGAGGUUGUAAAAAAGACUGUCAGAUGCAAUAUCUCAGGAAAGUUAAGUGUAUGUAGGACCUGUUUAACAUUAAGUCAAGAAUCGGAACUUAGUAAAUUAGGUAACUCGGCAGGAGACCCAUUGCGGAACAUGGUGGAGAAGUGCCUACCUGAAAUGGGCCUUAAUAUUACUAAAGAACCGUCAAUCUGUUCACACUGUCUUGAACAAUUCGAGGAGCAGUUUAAUUUUAUUAUGCAAUGCUUAGACACUGAAUCAAAAAUAAAUUAUUACUGCGAAACCAAAAAUAUUUUAACCAAUGUAGAUCUGCAUAAUGUAUAUCAAUUUUCAAUUAGAAUGGAGGAGUCUGGAGAGAAUGGGAAACAAUAUGAGGAAAUACCCGGUAGUGAGGAGGUCAUUGAGAUUAGUCCAAGAAAAAGGCCGUCAAACAAUAUGAAACGGGAACAGAUUGUUGAUUUAACAAAAGACAAUUCUCCAGUGAAAAAAACCAAAAACCAUAUCCCCGAGAAAAAAACCAGACGUUCAAUGUUACAUGAGGCACCAGUCGAAGAAGUAACAUUUCAAAUGGCCAUUAACCAUAAAGGGGAACAAAUCAUUACGUCGGAAACGACCAAAAUCGUUCGAGAGAACGUCAGUGAUAGCGAGGAGUCUGUGAAGCGUGAGAGUGAGUUACUCAUGGUUAAAAAGGUGGUGAGCACCACUCGCUCCUCACCUCGCAGGAAUUCAAUUACCGCAAAUCAUAAAAUGAACGGGGUGGUGCAGAAACGAAAGUGGGAGUUUAAGGAUGACGAUUAUCAUAGCGAAGAUGACGGGUCAGCAAAGCCAAAACGACUCCUAACGCAAAAAUGCAAAUACUGCAAGUUCAAGACGAAGUUUAAAAGUCGCAUGAAAGCGCACAUGACCAGAUACCACAAGUCCGAACUGGAAGAGGAAAAAGCGGAAAUGAAACUGUUCAAGUGCAGGCAGUGCACCUUUAAAACCGAAUGCGAGAAGGCGUACCAAGACCAUAAGGCGGAACAUAAAAAGGAACGCGAGCGUCAGAGUUGCCCGCAUUGCGAGGCGACUUUUAUCAGGCCAGACUUUCUGACCAAACACAUCGCGACCCAUAAGGAGAACGAUAAAAACGAACCGUUUAUCCCGAAAACCGUUAAGAAAAAGAAAGUGAAACAACUAGCCAUCACCAGUACCAUGAGCAGACCGGGCAAUUCCCGCACCUCAUUCAUGAUGAACGGACGAUCUUUCAAAAUGUUCAAAUGCGGGGUGUGUCCGUACCAGACCAGAUUGAAGAGCAACUAUCACAAACACGUGUCGAUCCAUAAGACCGGCCAGACGGGCAUCACGGUGAACAAAUGCGCGAUUUGUCGCUUCGAGACUAUUCAUAAGGAAAAUUAUUUGAGUCACAUGGCGAAACAUAAGAACGAGCAAGCGGAUGUGGUGAGACGGUGUUUCUUGUGCUCGUUUCAACCGAAUAGCGAGCAGGAGUUGGCGAUGCACGUUAGUAAAGUGCAUAAGAGCGGUAGCGGAUGACGUAAGGGCAGCGGGAGCAAAGGUGGGGGAGGAACCUAAGAAGAAGUUUAUAUUAUCUUUGUGGGAAGGUAUAUGGGGACCAAAUCCACCAACAUCUGGACCUAAGCAUAAAAAGCCUCGAUUCUUAUUGUAAAUUUGAAAGGAGUGAUAAAAGUGUUAUUGUCAUUUUAUACUCAUACAUUUUAAUACUCUAGAGGAUUAGACAUUUUUAAUAAAUGAUUUUGGUACA